Molecule: ribosomal RNA, 430 nt
Filed under: uncultured bacterium
Lineage: Bacteria
Description: bacterial SSU rRNA
Rfam family: Bacterial small subunit ribosomal RNA
Source: RNAcentral
AUCAGCGGCGGACGGGUGAGUAACACGUGGGUAACCUGCCUGUAAGACUGGGAUAACUCCGGGAAACCGGGGCUAAUACCGGAUAACUCAGUUCCUCGCAUGAGGAACGGUUGAAAGGUGGCUUUUUGCUACCACUUACAGAUGGACCCGCGGCGCAUUAGCUAGUUGGUGAGGUAACGGCUCACCAAGGCGACGAUGCGUAGCCGACCUGAGAGGGUGAUCGGCCACACUGGGACUGAGACACGGCCCAGACUCCUACGGGAGGCAGCAGUAGGGAAUCUUCCGCAAUGGACGAAAGUCUGACGGAGCAACGCCGCGUGAGUGAAGAAGGUUUUCGGAUCGUAAAACUCUGUUGUUAGGGAAGAACAAGUGCCGUUCAAAUAGGGCGGCACCUUGACGGUACCUAACCAGAAAGCCACGGCUAACUACG